UCAGCCUUUAACAUUGCUGUUGACUUGUCACUCUUGAGGUUUGAUCUUAUUGACUUAAAUCAGACACUGGACUGGAAUGACCACAAUAGAUCUAGAAAUGGUGAUUGAAUGAAAAUUUGGAACGGUCUCUUAAUUUUGUCCACGGCUGUAUUCAAUGUAUAUAUAUAACACACGCUAAAACAGUUUUGUGUAGAAAAAUGUAUAUUUUUCUUUCAGGUAAACCUGAAGUAUGGAAUGGACUAACGCAUUUUUUUCAUCAAACGUGCUGGAACGUGUACUGCUCCAGUUUUACGUCGGGUGAUGUUUUUACAACAUUCAUUUUCGUGUGCCACAAGAUCGGAUGUGAGGCAAGAUGUGGGGAUCGGACUGCUCAUUAUUCUCAGGACUCAAAGUUUUUGGCCCAUAAGACCCGAAGCUGAAACUCGCUCAUCUGGCAGAGCCAAGCAAGAUAUUCCAACAGAGCCCAAGCUGUACGUCCUGUAUAGAUCCAAGCGAGUGGGAGUAGAAAUCCCUGCUGAUGGAUGGCUGGUAUGGGGCCAGCGUUCCGGAUGGGAAUGGCUGCCCAGCGCUGGGAUGCUCUCCCAAAUCCCCCCUGUGAAACGGUCGCAGCUGCCACGUCAGUCACCUGAACAUUCCCGCUUUUUCAUCGAACAAACAGCAAUCAGGCCUUCAGCGUCUGACCUGACAAAUUGAUUUGGAAUCCCUUCUGACGAUCCGUCCCUGCCUCGCAUUCCCUCUGUGGUCAGCGCUGAGCCGAGCGGGAGGAGAUGAAAAAACGGCCUAUGGAAUCACUGCUGCUCGACGGGUGGAAUGAUCAAAGGAGGACGUGGAAAAUGAAUGGGUACGACUAAAGGAAGGACCAAAAAUAUUCCUGCUGUCUGUUUCCAUCUCGAGUGUGAUAAACCUGAGCCGGGCCGUGGGUGGAGGUCACUGCAGAUGGACACGGCCAGCUCCAGCUAAACGUCCACAGAUCAUGUGAACACUAAAGUUUACGAGAUACCUGAAUCAUAACACAUCUGGCUAUUUGGAGGAAGACAUUAUAACCGAUAUGUAAUCACGGUCCACCACAGUCACACGGGAACACACUGGGGGAAUUUGAGAGUGUGUGGAGGCCCAGGGGCGAAGGCUGUCUCUGCACAUGAUCGGCCGCAACUAAUACAUCCCACAACUGCACACGAGUGUGAUGAAGGCCCUGCCCAUAUCACUGUGGAAACAGGUG
Molecule: long non-coding RNA, 1219 nt
Organism: Triplophysa dalaica
Lineage: Eukaryota; Metazoa; Chordata; Actinopteri; Cypriniformes; Nemacheilidae
Exons: 6
Source: RefSeq, a predicted model, not a curated record